RNAcentral lists this ribosomal RNA (492 nucleotides) under uncultured bacterium. RNAcentral's name for it is "partial 16S ribosomal RNA". It matches the Rfam family "Bacterial small subunit ribosomal RNA", at positions 29 to 507 of the family's 1533-position model. The record is from RNAcentral.
AGUGAACGCUGGCGGUAGGCCUAACACAUGCAAGUCGAACGGCAGCACAGUAAGAGCUUGCUCUUACGGGUGGCGAGUGGCGGACGGGUGAGGAAUACAUCGGCAUCUACUUUUUCGUGGGGGAUAACGUAGGGAAACUUACACUACUACCGCAUACGACCUACGGGUGAAAGCAGGGGAGCUUCGGACCUUGCGCGAUUGAAUGAGCCGAUGUCGGAUUAGCUAGUUGGCGGGGUAAAGGCCCACCAAGGCGACGAUCCGUAGCUGAUCUGAGAGGAUGAUCAGCCACACUGGAACUGAGACACGGUCCAGACUCCUACGGGAGGCAGCAGUGGGGAAUAUUGGACAAUGGGCGAAAGCCUGAUCCAGCAAUACCGCGUGGGUGAAGAAGGUCUUCGGGUUGUAAAGCCCUUUUGUUGGGAAAGAAAAGAAGCAGGUUAAUACCCCGCUGUUCUGACGGUACCCAAAGAAUAAGCACCGGCUAACUUCGUG